Lathyrus oleraceus (garden pea) is the source of this 873-nucleotide long non-coding RNA. RefSeq lists it as uncharacterized. The transcript is spliced from 2 exons. The record is from RefSeq and is a predicted model, not a curated record. NCBI's taxonomy places the organism in Eukaryota, Viridiplantae, Streptophyta, Magnoliopsida, Fabales, Fabaceae.
UGGUCCAGAGAUUCAAAAUACACUGCAGAUAUUCAGAUUAGAACACUUCACGUCACCCUUUGUCUGAGGAAUGAUAUCUUUGUCGCGCCGGAAAUCGCCUUCGGCGGCGACGGAGAGCCAAACCACGUAAAACCUACACCAAUCUCCUCGUUUCAUCCUUGUCUACCUAGAUUCAUCCAUAAUUUAUCCUAAUUCUUAGCCUAAGGUGCAAAUCGAACAGAAAAGCUCAAUAACCCUAAUCACAAAUUCUAAAAUUAAACUCUCACAAAGAGGAAUCCAAGUCUCUAAUAUUAGGGCUUUUAUUCUUCUAACAAAACCCCACAUGAUGACAACUAUCUUAGAGUGAAAUAAAGAAGAAGUGUUCACCUCCAUAGAAGCAGCUUUCCUCAGUAGUGGUUGCAAUAGAGAUGAUGAAAGAAGAUUGAAGAUGCUUAUUUUUUGUGUUGAAUGGUCAUGCUCGAAAUGGACUGAAAUGCUUGCUUGGAAUGGUUUCGUAGGAUGUUUGGAAACAUGGGGGAUUGAACAAAGGCCUAAAAAAUGGAUAUUCACGUGGCAUGCAUUUAAAGGAACUUGGAACACGGUGACAUCAAAAGAUUAAGAAGAAAAUGGAGGUUUUGAGGAUCAAACAAAAUGGGAUGGCUUGUGGGAGAAGUAGGAAAAGAAUUAGGGUUAGGGUAGUUAGAAUUUAGUCAGUUGACUUUGGUCAACUAUUUGACCAAAAACUCAACAGUUGACCAAAAGUCAACCUAGGUCAAAAUUGUAUUUGUUUUUUGUAAGGGUUUAUGAGGUAAUGUAAUGGAUUAAUGGUUUUUGAAAUUGAAAUGGAUUUUGAAUGGAACAUAAAUGGUAAAAUGAAACUUAUAUUCUAAGUAA